UUUUUUUUUUUUUUUUUGAGAUGGAGUCUCACUCUGUCGUCCAGGCUGGAGUGCAGUGGCGCGAUCAUGUGUACAAAUCUUUAGAAGACUCUUGUUUUUUUCCCUAAGGCAAACCUAGUCUUUUUCUCCAAAUGUCUGGUCUUUUUUCCCCUAGAUUUCUUAGGUUUUUCUGGCCUAAGUCUGCAGCUCCUAAUGCUCUGCUGCUCCCCUGUGGCCAUACUGAGACAGGGUGUGCUCUGGCCACGAUAUGGGCUGAUCUUAACUUCAUACAUGGGGGUGGAAGAACUUCAUGCAUUUUAAUAAAUCCUUCCUGUCCUUUUAAAAUUUAGAUUUUUAAUUUUUUGAGACAGGGUCUCACUUUGUCACCUGUGCUGCUAUGCAGUGGUGCGAUCACGGCUCACUGCAGCCUCAACCUGGGCUCAAGCAAUUCUCCUGCCUCAGUCUCCCAAGUAACUAGGACCACAGGUACAUGCCACCAUGCCCAGCUAAUUUUUAAUCUUUCUUCUCUUUACACUGCAAAUUCUUCUUAAUCUUUCAAGAUCCAACCCUGAGGUUAUCUGCCAGUUGAGACUUCUUUGCUCCCCCAGGUAGAGAGAGUUCUCGAAUCUUCUGUUCUCCAAUAGCAUUUCUUUCGCAUCUUUGAAGGAGCUCUCUUAUUAUGUUAUCCUGACAUUUAUUUUUGUAUUUUUUUCCCUGCUAGAUGGUGGGCAGGGGCUGAGUCUUAUUUGUCUCUGCCUCUUUAAAGAGGUAUGAAGUAGUUGCAGGGCAAUAAUGGAGGUAAGAAGAUGAAGAUGAGGAAGGAGCAAGGAGGUAAGGAAAGAGUGAGAAUAAUAUUCAUUUUAUGGGGCACAGCUUUGUGCCAACACGUUGUUCCAAGCACUUUAUUUUAUUUUAUUGAUUGAUUGAUUGAUUGAGACGGAGUCUUGCUCUGUCACCCAGGCUGAAGUGCAGUGGCAUGAUCCCGGCUCACUGCAACCUCUGCCUCAUGAGUUCAAGUGAUUCUCCAGCCUCAGCCCCCCAAGUAGCUGGGAUUACAGGCAUAUGCCACCACACCUAGCUAACUUUAGUAUUUUUAGUAAAGAUGGAAUUUUGCCAUAUUGCUCAGGCUCAAACUCCUGAGGUCUCCCCAAAGUGCUGGGAUUACAGGUGUGAGCCACUGUGCCUGACUCAAGCACUUUAUACUCAUAUAAUUCUUUCAGCCACCUCAUGAGGUAGGCAUUAUUAUUAUCCCAAUUUUACAAUCAAGGCACAGCAAAAUUAGGCAAUGUACAUAGGUGGUAAGUGGCAGUAUAGGAGUUGAACUGACAUAGUUAGGCGCCUGAGCCCAGGCUUGAACCCACUGUGUAAUCCUGCUUCUCCAGUGUGAAGUGAUGAGAGGAAGAGGGUGAGGAGAAAACGUAAUGAGGAGAGAAUGGGGAUAAGGAGAGAGGAUGGAAGGAUAAGAGAGGAUGGGGUUAGACAAAAGAACAGAACUUAGAGAGAAUGGGAUGAAGGG
Molecule: long non-coding RNA, 1495 nt
Organism: Macaca fascicularis (crab-eating macaque)
Lineage: Eukaryota; Metazoa; Chordata; Mammalia; Primates; Cercopithecidae
Source: Ensembl